This 232-nucleotide ribosomal RNA is filed under the name uncultured bacterium. RNAcentral's name for it is "partial 16S ribosomal RNA". It matches the Rfam family "Bacterial small subunit ribosomal RNA", at positions 545 to 776 of the family's 1533-position model. The record is from RNAcentral.
UCGGAAUCACUGGGCGUAAAGCGCACGUAGGCGGAUUGCUAAGUCAGGGGGGAAAUCCUGGAGCUCAACUCCAGAACUGCCUUUGAUACUGGCGAUCUCGAGUCCGGGAGAGGUGAGUGGAACUGCGAGUGUAGAGGUGAAAUUCGUAGAUAUUCGCAAGAACACCAGUGGCGAAGGCGGCUCACUGGCCCGGUACUGACGCUGAGGUGCGAAAGCGUGGGGAGCAAACAGG